ACCCCAUGAUAUAAGCCGGCGUUGUGAAUAUAUUUCUAGUUUACAACGUGACUAUGAUUGGGAAAAUGAAGCCUGCUCUGAUGUGUGUAUGUUGUAUAGUGAAUAUUUAUCUCACACUUGCAAACAAAGUAAAUUUCAGAGUACA
This is a small nucleolar RNA of Musca vetustissima, 145 nucleotides long. RefSeq annotates it as small nucleolar RNA snoR639/H1. The transcript has a single exon. The record is from RefSeq and is a predicted model, not a curated record. NCBI's taxonomy places the organism in Eukaryota, Metazoa, Arthropoda, Insecta, Diptera, Muscidae.